CGUGCAGGUAUGCGCACGUGCAGAAAAGGAGAAGAAAGACAAUAAUCAAGCUGGAAAAGUUAAAAAUGGCAGCCAUAUUUUUUCACUCUCUCUCUCUUUUUCUUUUUUUUUUCUCGCUUAUCCUUCAC
This 128-nucleotide non-coding RNA is filed under the name Palpitomonas bilix. The record is from RNAcentral.